Molecule: ribosomal RNA, 2511 nt
Filed under: human gut metagenome
Description: bacterial LSU rRNA
Rfam family: Bacterial large subunit ribosomal RNA
Source: RNAcentral
UUAAGCGACUAAGCGUACACGGUGGAUGCCCUGGCAGUCAGAGGCGAUGAAGGACGUGCUAAUCUGCGAAAAGCGUCGGUAAGGUGAUAUGAACCGUUAUAACCGGCGAUGUCCGAAUGGGGAAACCCAGUGUGAUUCGUCACACUAUCGUUAACUGAAUACAUAGGUUAACGAGGCGAACCGGGGGAACUGAAACAUCUAAGUACCCCGAGGAAAAGAAAUCAACCGAGAUUCCCCCAGUAGCGGCGAGCGAACGGGGAGCAGCCCAGAGUCUGAAUCAGCUUGUGUGUUAGUGGAACGGUCUGGAAAGUCCGACGGUACAGGGUGAUAGUCCCGUACACCAAAAUGCACAGGUUGUGAACUCGAAGAGUAGGGCGGGACACGUGGUAUCCUGUCUGAAUAUGGGGGGACCAUCCUCCAAGGCUAAAUACUCCUGACUGACCGAUAGUGAACCAGUACCGUGAGGGAAAGGCGAAAAGAACCCCGGCGAGGGGAGUGAAAAAGAACCUGAAACCGUGUACGUACAAGCAGUGGGAGCACCUUCGGGUGUGACUGCGUACCUUUUGUAUAAUGGGUCAGCGACUUAUAUUCUGUAGCAAGGUUAACCGUAUAGGGGAGCCGCAGGGAAACCGAGUCUUAACUGGGCGUUAAGUUGCAGGGUAUAGACCCGAAACCCGGUGAUCUAGCCAUGGGCAGGUUGAAGGUUGGGUAACACUAACUGGAGGACCGAACCGACUAAUGUUGAAAAAUUAGCGGAUGACUUGUGGCUGGGGGUGAAAGGCCAAUCAAACCGGGAGAUAGCUGGUUCUCCCCGAAAGCUAUUUAGGUAGCGCCUCGUGAACUCAUCUUCGGGGGUAGAGCACUGUUUCGGCUAGGGGGUCAUCCCGACUUACCAACCCGAUGCAAACUACGAAUACCGAAGAAUGUUAUCACGGGAGACACACGGCGGGUGCUAACGUCCGUCGUGAAGAGGGAAACAACCCAGACCGCCAGCUAAGGUCCCAAAGUCAUGGUUAAGUGGGAAACGAUGUGGGAAGGCACAGACAGCCAGGAUGUUGGCUUAGAAGCAGCCAUCAUUUAAAGAAAGCGUAAUAGCUCACUGGUCGAGUCGGCCUGCGCGGAAGAUGUAACGGGGCUAAACCAUGCACCGAAGCUGCGGCAGCGACACUAUGUGUUGUUGGGUAGGGGAGCGUUCUGUAAGCCUGCGAAGGUGUGCUGUGAGGCAUGCUGGAGGUAUCAGAAGUGCGAAUGCUGACAUAAGUAACGAUAAAGCGGGUGAAAAGCCCGCUCGCCGGAAGACCAAGGGUUCCUGUCCAACGUUAAUCGGGGCAGGGUGAGUCGACCCCUAAGGCGAGGCCGAAAGGCGUAGUCGAUGGGAAACAGGUUAAUAUUCCUGUACUUGGUGUUACUGCGAAGGGGGGACGGAGAAGGCUAUGUUAGCCGGGCGACGGUUGUCCCGGUUUAAGCAUGUAGGCUGGUUGUCCAGGCAAAUCCGGAUAAUCAAGGCUGAGGUGUGAUGACGAGGCACUACGGUGCUGAAGUAACAAAUGCCCUGCUUCCAGGAAAAGCCUCUAAGCAUCAGGUAACAUCAAAUCGUACCCCAAACCGACACAGGUGGUCAGGUAGAGAAUACCAAGGCGCUUGAGAGAACUCGGGUGAAGGAACUAGGCAAAAUGGUGCCGUAACUUCGGGAGAAGGCACGCUGGUGUGUAGGUGAAGCCCCUGCGGGUGGAGCUGAGACCAGUCGAAGAUACCAGCUGGCUGCAACUGUUUAUUAAAAACACAGCACUGUGCAAACACGAAAGUGGACGUAUACGGUGUGACGCCUGCCCGGUGCCGGAAGGUUAAUUGAUGGGGUUAUCCGUAAGGAGAAGCUCUUGAUCGAAGCCCCGGUAAACGGCGGCCGUAACUAUAACGGUCCUAAGGUAGCGAAAUUCCUUGUCGGGUAAGUUCCGACCUGCACGAAUGGCGUAAUGAUGGCCAGGCUGUCUCCACCCGAGACUCAGUGAAAUUGAACUCGCUGUGAAGAUGCAGUGUACCCGCGGCAAGACGGAAAGACCCCGUGAACCUUUACUAUAGCUUGACACUGAACAUUGAGCCUUGAUGUGUAGGAUAGGUGGGAGGCUUUGAAGCGUGGACGCCAGUCUGCGUGGAGCCAACCUUGAAAUACCACCCUUUAAUGUUUGAUGUUCUAACGUUGGCCCCUUACCGGGGUUGCGGACAGUGUCUGGUGGGUAGUUUGACUGGGGCGGUCUCCUCCCAAAGCGUAACGGAGGAGCACGAAGGUUAGCUAAUCCUGGUCGGACAUCAGGAGGUUAGUGCAAUGGCAUAAGCUAGCUUGACUGCGAGCGUGACGGCGCGAGCAGGUGCGAAAGCAGGUCAUAGUGAUCCGGUGGUUCUGAAUGGAAGGGCCAUCGCUCAACGGAUAAAAGGUACUCCGGGGAUAACAGGCUGAUACCGCCCAAGAGUUCAUAUCGACGGCGGUGUUUGGCACCUCGAUGUCGGCUCAUC